GCGGUACCGGUUCACGCUCUGCUGGUUCUCCGGCNAGGCGACCCGGCGACC
The submitters of this non-coding RNA (51 nucleotides) gave its source as unclassified sequences. The record is from Rfam.